AGACGAGGAGCUUGCUCCGCUGACGAUAGCGGAGGACGGGAGAGUAACACGUGAAUAAGCUACCUAUUGGACUGGGAUAACUUCGGGAAACCGGAACUACUACCGGAUAACAUAUUGAACCGCAGGGGUCCCUAGUGAAAGACGGCUUUGCUGUCACUUAUUGAUGGAUCCGCGCCGCAGUGGCUAGUUGGUAAGGCAACGGCUUACCAAGGCAACGAUGCGUAACCAACCUGAGAGGGUGAGCGGCCGCACUGGAACUGAGACUCGGACCAGACUCCUACGGGAGGAAUCAUGAAGGAAUCUUCCGCAAUGGGCGAAAGCCUGACGGAGCAGCGCCGAGUGAGUGAUGAAGGUCUUCGGAUCGUAAAACUCUGUUAUUAGGGAAGAAUAAAUGUGUAAGUAACUAUCCACGUCUUGACAGUACCUAAUCAGAAAGUCCCGGCCAACUACCUGCCAACAACCGCGGGAGUACGUAUGUGGCAAACGUUAUGCGGAAUUAUUGGGCGUAAAGCGCGCGUAAGCAGUUUUUUAAAACUGAUGUGAUCGCCCACGGAUCUGCCGUGGAGGGUGAUUGGAUACUGGAUGACUUGAGUGCAGAAAAUGAAAGUGGAAUUCCAUGUGUACCGAUAAAUUGCGAAGAGAUAUGGAGGAACACCAGUGCCCAAGGCGACUUUACUGGUCUGUAACUGACGCUGAUGUGCGAAAGCGUGGGGAUCAAUCACCGAUUAGAUACCCUGCCAGUCCACUCCGUACUCGAUGAGUGCUAUGUGUUACGGUGGUUACCGCCCCUUACUGCUGCAGCUGACCGCACUAAGCACUCCGCCUGCGGAAUACGACCGCAA
RNAcentral lists this ribosomal RNA (842 nucleotides) under Staphylococcus epidermidis. RNAcentral's name for it is "bacterial SSU rRNA". It matches the Rfam family "Bacterial small subunit ribosomal RNA", at positions 69 to 891 of the family's 1533-position model. The record is from RNAcentral. Lineage: Bacteria; Bacillati; Bacillota; Bacilli; Caryophanales; Staphylococcaceae.